Long non-coding RNA from Drosophila elegans, 659 nucleotides. RefSeq lists it as uncharacterized. The record is from RefSeq and is a predicted model, not a curated record. NCBI's taxonomy places the organism in Eukaryota, Metazoa, Arthropoda, Insecta, Diptera, Drosophilidae. The transcript is spliced from 4 exons.
GCCCAAACAGGAAUCACCUCCGGACAUAAGCUCCAAAUUCUCAGUAAUUUUUCGGUUUACUAAAAAAAUUUAAAUUUUCCGGCUAGGCUUAAGAAUAAAGUGAAUUAUAGUUUAAGCAUAAAAACAAAACACCAUAAACUUCCUUAUACACGUUGACCAGAUAACUACAACAUCAGAUUAUACACUAAAUUGCUUCCGAGAAGUUGGCAUCUCGAAAAGCGGUUCACUCUGAAACUAAUCUGCUUACACUACUGAGUAACCUGAUGCAAGAAUUAUACCCAAACUGAACGAGUUGACCAGAUAAAUACAACACAAACAUAUAUACACGGGGAAGGUGGCAUCUUGGCUUAAAUGAUUUUUGCUCUUCACUCUGGAAUAAUAAUAAUAAUAAUAAUAAUAAUCUUCGUACACCUCUGAGUAACCUGGUGCAAGGUCCCCUCUCUCUCCUGUAGUCCAUUGAUCAAAAACUGUAACACGAAAAAUGGCUCAUUUAAGUUACUGGAUUCUUGGAGUUGGAUCUCACUGGACUAAUACCUAAAUGUUUGAUGCUAUAAUAAAUGUACACUUGAAUACUGGAUUCUUGGAGUUGGAUCUCACUGAAGUAAUAUGUAAUACAAAAAUGUUUGAUGCUAUAAUAAAUGUACACUUAUACACUUAAA